This 4988-nucleotide long non-coding RNA is filed under the name Sus scrofa (pig). RNAcentral's name for it is "lncRNA (ENSSSCG00045024959.1)". Lineage: Eukaryota; Metazoa; Chordata; Mammalia; Artiodactyla; Suidae. The record is from RNAcentral.
UGGGAGACAGAGGAGUCUUGGACCAUGUGCGUAACACGAGCGUGGGACUGUGCGAUCUUUGGAUUGAAAAAGAAAGGAGUGGAAAUAACCCCGACAGUGUCAGGCUUGUUAGUGGUCGGGGACAGAUGAAUCCAGCCCUGUGCUGAUCGCCUGCCUUCCACCUCCCAAUUAGACUAUCACAGCCGGUGCUGCUGUCUCUUGUACUUACUGUAAAGGACCCUGGAAGAGGGAGUGGUUCAUCCUAGCUGCAAACAAGGGCGGUUUUUUGUUGUUGUUUGCUUCUUUUUUUUUUUCUUUUAAGAAUUACGUUUUAUAAGUAUGUCUGGGCGUUACAAGGGAAUGUGAACGACUUUUCAGAGAGAUUGUGAAUAUAUUUGAUGUGUUCUAAAAAGCUGGAAAUCCCUAAGUAAAUGCAGUAUCGAUAGAAAGCAAGUUUCUUGAAGAGUCACCUGCUAAACUCUACUAGCGUCAUCUCUACAAUUGGGAGCCUCGAAGUCUGAAAUCAAGGUGUCAGCCAGAUCCCCUCUGAAGUCCUGGCGAAGAGUUCUUCCUUGCCUUCUUCAGGUUCAUUUGACCUCAGGCAUUCCUUGGCUGUGGCAGCCUAACUCCAGUUUCUGCCUCCAUCUUCAUAGAGCCUUCUUCCCUCAGUCAACCUCUGUUUGCUCUUCUACUGGUAAGGAUACAAAUUAUUGGAUUGAACUUCACCGUACAUUCAGGAUGAUUUAAUCUGGAGACUAUUAAUCAACUACAUGUGCAAAUAUUUCUAAAAAAGAUCACAAACUGAGGUUCUGUGUGGCCAUGAAUUUUGGGGGAGAUCCUAGUCAACUCACUGCACUAGGAUAGUCGAAGAACUAAUUAGGAAUUGUCUCUGUUGAAGGGUUAACAUUGUGUUAGUAUCAUGACAAAUAUCCAGUAGGACAGCUUUGCAAAACAAUCAUCAGGGAUUUCUAUUUUGAGUCAUAAACUAAAUGUACUGCAUUUCAAGAGCCAGUAAAAAUGUGGAACAGCAUACCAAAUAGUUUUUGUCUUGUUAUUUUUGCAAUUCUUUGUUUCGCUUCAGGGAGAAAAUUGGAAUUGUUUGUUAAAAUGAUCAUUAAGUAUCAUAUAUGCAGAUGUAAAUGUUGUUUCUGUAUAUAAGAACUUCAUUAGGCAGAUUUUAGGUUCAUCCUAACAACUUAUAGCUGUAAAAAAUCAUUUUUACUAUGGCAAAGAAAACAUAUUAUUAUAUGAAGAAAGUAUCUUUAAAACAGAUUCUGGAACCUAAAAUUUAGGAAUUUUCAGGUUUGUAGACUAUUGUUUGUUAUACUAGUAAAAAUGUAUGCUUCACUAGCAAGGACUGAAGAGAAUAGUGAGUUUGCAUCCUAGAAAUGGUGCUGGGCUGCACUCCACAGGAUUACAAGGCCUGUCUUGCCUAGCUUCAAGAUGGAAGAAAAAGCUGAAUCAGAAAUAGAGACACCAAUGGUUUAGUGAAGAGAGGGAUCUUACAUAGCUGAAGCAAGGUCCUGGAGCAACACUCCACUGUGUGUAGCAGAAGACAGAUGUAGUGGCAGACUUUGCUCCUGGGGGGAAAGGAAGAUUACAAGUUAUAGGUGGAACUGAAGUCUGGUUGGCUUGUGGGUUACCAGGAAACCAGCAGCCAGGCAUGCCCCUUAUCACCCCUUUGAUAAACUAUUACAGUGAGAGUUCUGAUCUAUAGCUAGACUAGUCAUUAGCUAGGGUGUGGGGCAAGUAUUUAGGAAGAUAAAACAUGUGAGUGGGGUGUAGGGGAAGCAGAUACUGAUUGAGCAGAGGAUGUACAUAGAGCAAGAGAACAGACAUCUUGGGUGGCCUGACCAUACACAUGGGAAGUAAGAUAUACAUAGUGUUAUGCAAGGCCUUAUGAUUUUUUAUCUUGUAAAAUAUAUCUGUGAAUUAGGAAUAACUAGACAUUUAAGAAAAAAUGCUCUUCAGUUGAUUGCACACAGUUUAUGUCAAAACAUAAAAUUUGAGACUUCUUUUUUCUUUUUAGGGCCACACCUGUGGCUAUGGAAAUUCAUAGGUUAGAGUUCAAAUGAGAGCUGCACCUGCCAGCCUAUGCAACAGCCACAGCAACACCAGAUCCCAGCAACAUAUAUGACCUAUGCCCCAGCUUGUGGCAAUGCUAGAUCCUUAAACCACUGAGCGAGGCCAGGGAUCAGACCCGUAUCCUCAUGGAUAUUAGUCAGAUUCUUAACUUGCUGAGCUAUAAAUGGGACCUCUGAGACUUCUUAGGUCAAGAAAUUUCCUUCAAAAAAAAAAAGGAAGUUCCUGGUUGUGGCUCAGUGGUAAUGAACCUGACUAGUAUCCAUGAGGACAUGGGUUUAAUCCCUGGCCCCGCUCAGUGGAUUAAGGAUCCUGUGUUGCCUUGAGUUGUGGCGUAGGUUGCAGAUGCAACUCAGAUCCUGUGUUGCUGUGGCUGUGGUGUAGGCCGGCAGCUGCAGCUCUGAUUCCACCCCUAGCCUGGAAACUUCCAUAUGCCUUGGGUGUGGACCUAAAAAAAAAUUCCUUUUAUUUAAUUUAUUCUAUAGUAUCUGUAAACAACAACAACAAAAAGUGAGGAUAUUGACUCUGAAAUGGUAUAUAUAUAUUUCACAAUUGAUCUUAUGAAAAUAUUAGAAAAGUUAAACUGUUACUUUUAUCAAGUGUAAACAUGUAUGUUUUGGCUGUAAAAUGUUAUGUGUGUGUUUUUUACAGUGUGAGCAUACCCAGUUUUAUUGCACUUCACAAAUACUUUGUUUCUUACAAAUGGAAGGUUUGUGGCUAUGUUGCCUUGAGCAAGUCUAUUGGUGCCAUUUUUCCAGUAGCAUUUAUUCACUUUGUGUCUUUCUGUCAUAUUUUGGUAAUUCUCACAACAUUUCAAAAAUUCCACUGGCAAAAAGAUUAUGACUUGCUUAAGGCUCAGAUGAUGGUUAGCAUUUUUUAGCAAUAAAAUAUUUUUAAAUUAAGGUAUGUACAUAAUUUUCAUAGAUAUAAUGAUAUUGCACACUUAAAAGACUAGCUUAUAAUGUAAACAUAACUUUUCUACACACUAGGAAACAAAAGAAAUUUGUCUGACUUGCUUUAUUGCAUUAUUUGCUUCAUUGUGGUUGUUUGAAACUGAAUCCACAAUAUAUCUGAGGUAUGCCUAUUCAUCAACAUCAAAUAAUGAGUAAAAUAACAAUAAUAAUAAUAGCAAAAUAUUAAUAUUAAAAUGCAUUUACGAAAAAACAGUCUACUAAAAUCAGGUAUAUUUUAAAUAGUUAUAUUUUGGUUAUAUAACUUCACAAUAUAACAUUAAUGUUCAAACUUCAAUUAAGUUUGAGCAAACAGAUAUUACAAAUUUUAAUAUAGGUGAAUUAAACUGCUGAAUAGACCUUCUUUCAAAUAUAUGAUUUUAGGUUAAGUUUGUUCCUUAAUGUUUACUUUAACAGGUAGAAAGAAAUCACUGAUGGAUUAUAAAGCAAAGGUAAUAUGCUUGAACAUUUGACUGGGAACAUUCUUAUUAGGCAGAUCAAGGAAUUUUGUUUCUAACUCUUACACAGACUAAAGCUUGCUAUAAAUAUGUAGGUAGUAUUCAUUUAGGGAAACUAUCAAAUGGUGACUGUGGAAAAAUCAAAUACAUUGUGAGAAUUGUAUAGAUUGCAAUUUGUAAGAGAAAGUAGGACAUUUAACUUGCCCUAUAGGCCAAAAUACUUCAUAGUGUUGAAUAAUAUCUUUAUUAAUGAACAGCCAGAAGAGAUAAGCAGUACAUGAAUCCAAAGAAUAUUAUAAGUUUUUUUUCUUAGGGCCGCACCAGCAGCAUAUGGAAAUUCCCAGGCUAAGGGUUGAAUCCUAUCCUGUUGGCCUAUACCACAGCCCCAGCAGCUGGAGCUGUCUGUGACCUACACUACAACCCACGGCGAGGCUGGAUCCCCAACCCACUGAAUGGAGCCAGGGAUCAAAGCCACAACCUCACGGAUACUAGUCAGAUUCAUUCCCACUGUGCCACAACAGGAACUCGCAAGAAUGUUAUAAUUUUUGAAAAUAAAUAAAACCUAGGAAAGGCGGAGAACUGUAUCAGAAAAAAACAAAGGUGCAUGAAAAUAAAAGAUAAAAUUGAACUUUAAAAUGCAGAAUGAAAAAAAAUCAAAGAUGCUUGUUUAUUGCUAAUUUCAAGUCAGUAUGAAAAUCCAUCAUUAGAACCUCAUAAAGUUUAUUUAACAUCAUAGAAGAUUAAGGACAGCUUUUUCCUUCCUUUUUAAAAAAUAGUUGAUCUAUUGUCUCAUAUGGGCUUAUUAUUUUUCCCUCUCUCUCCACUUCACCUAUAUUCCUAUUUCGGUUUGCUUUUAGGAUUUAACUUUGAUUCUAUUUUCUUCUGGUUUUGUUCCCAAACUAGGAUAAACCAAAUAAUUUUUAUCUUUUUUCUUUUGAAUUCAUAUCUAUUCCCAGAAUUAAAAAUCACCUAUGGGAUUAUGAAAGAUUCUAAUAUAAAGAAUGUCCACUGGCCUUUUGCACAUGUCAGGCAGAACCUACAUGAGUGCAUGCCACAUAACUGGUAUUCAUUUAAUAUAGAUUAUACACUUAUUUCAAAUUUGUACAUGGAAAAACUCUAAUUAGAGCAUCUGUACUACACAUGUCCACCUUUUUUCUCCGUAUUCUUAAGAUUUCAAAGCCCCAAUAUUAGGUUUAAAUGUAAUUUUAAUUAGUCCGAGACAGUAGUUUUGGCUGCACCAUGGCAUGAUGAAGUGUUAGGGGCAGGGAUCCAACCAUACCACAUCAGUGACAAUGCUGGAUCCUUAACCAAUAGACCACCAGGGAACUCCAGUAUAAGACAUUUAAAAUUCAUGUUUAUCUAUAUGCACAUAUGAAUACACAUGAAUAUAAAUAUACUAUAGAUUUUUUUAAAGUGUACUGUAAUUAAGAGUUUCUGCUUCUCUGCAAGAUGAAGUAGUUUGCAUCAGGCUAUCAUUCCAACCAAAGAAAACUAGAAAACCCAGAAAAAAAAAAAAAAA